GACGAACGCUGGCGGCGUGCUUAACACAUGCAAGUCGAACGGAAAGGCCCUGCUUUUGUGGGGUGCUCGAGUGGCGAACGGGUGAGUAACACGUGAGUAACCUGCCCUUGACUUUGGGAUAACUUCAGGAAACUGGGGCUAAUACCGGAUAGGAGCUCCUGCUGCAUGGUGGGGGUUGGAAAGUUUCGGCGGUUGGGGAUGGACUCGCGGCUUAUCAGCUUGUUGGUGGGGUAGUGGCUUACCAAGGCUUUGACGGGUAGCCGGCCUGAGAGGGUGACCGGCCACAUUGGGACUGGGAUAGGGCCCAGACUCCUCCGGGAGGCAGCAGUGGGGAAUAUUGAACAAUGGGCGGAAGCCUGAUGCAGCAACGCCGCGUGCGGGAUGACGGCCUUCGGGUUGUAAACCGCUUUCGCCUGUGACGAAGCGUGAGUGACGGUAAUGGGUAAAGAAGCACCGGCUAACUACGUG
RNAcentral lists this ribosomal RNA (468 nucleotides) under uncultured bacterium. Its description in RNAcentral is "partial 16S ribosomal RNA". It matches the Rfam family "Bacterial small subunit ribosomal RNA", at positions 28 to 507 of the family's 1533-position model. The record is from RNAcentral.